Molecule: ribosomal RNA, 713 nt
Filed under: Bacillus anthracis (anthrax bacterium)
Lineage: Bacteria; Bacillati; Bacillota; Bacilli; Caryophanales; Bacillaceae
Description: bacterial SSU rRNA
Rfam family: Bacterial small subunit ribosomal RNA
Source: RNAcentral
CAGAAAGCUUGCUUUCUUGCUGACGAGCGGCGGACGGGUGAGUAAUGUAUGGGGAUCUGCCCGAUAAAGGGGGAUAACUACUGGAAACGGUGGCUAAUACCGCAAAAUGUCUACGGACCAAAGCAGGGGCUCUUCGGACCUUGCACUAUCGGAUGAACCCAUAUGGGAUUAUCUAGUAAGUGGGGUAAAGGCUCACCUAGGCGACGAUCUCUAGCUGGUCUGACAAGAUGAUCAGCCACUCUGGGACUGAGACACGGCCCAGACUCCUACAGGAGGCAGCAAUGGGGAAUAUUGCACAAUGGGCGCAAGCCUGAUGCACCCAUGCCGCGUGUAUGAAGAAGGCCUUAGGGUUGUAAAGUACUUUCAGCGGGGAGGAAGGUGAUAAGGUUAAUACCCUUAUCAAUUGACGUUACCCGCAGAACAAGCACCGGCUAACUCCGUGCCAUCAGCCGCGGUAAUACGGAGGGUGCAAGCGUUAAUCGGAAUUACUGGGCGUAUAGCGCACGCAGGCGGUCAAUUAAGUCACAUGUGAAAGCCCCGAGCUUAACUUGGGAAUUGCAUCUGAAACUGGUUGGCUAGAGUCUUGUAGAGGGGGGUAGAAUUCCAUGUGUAGCGGUGAAAUGCGUAGAGAUGUGGAGGAAUACCGGUGGCGAAAGCGGCCCCCUGGACAUAGACUGACGCUCAUGUGCGAAAGCGUGGGGAGCAACAGGAUU